GGACUCUUUAGUUGAGGCACAUGGGCUUAGUUUCAGCUCAUAAACUUCGCUAUUCCUUGACAUGUGGAAUCUUAGUUACCCGACCAGGUAUCAAAAUUGCAUCCCCUGCAUUCCUGCUGCUGCUGCUGCAAAGUCGCUUCAGUUGUGUCCUACUCUGUGCAACCCCAUAGACGACAGCCCGCCAGGCUCCCCUGUCCCUGGGAUUCUCCAGAUUUCAAGAAGGCUGCUGUGCCUCUGUCCAUCACAUCUGUGUUCCAGGCAGAACAUGAAGGUAAAUGCAAAAGGCUGAAGAAUAUCAGCUGAGUCUAUCUCUUUAAAAAAAAAGAAGAAGAAGAAUUUUUCUGGUUCUGGGGAAUGAACAAAACAGACAAAAUCCUUGUGGAGAUGACACUGCAGUGAAAGCCUUCAGGGAAAUCUACAGCUGAAGGGCUUACGGUCCUCACGUGCUCUACGGCUCCACGGCUGCUCCUUGGAGGUUGCACCACUGAUUUAGGUGGAAGUGGCACCUCCUCCCGCCCCUCACGGCGGAGUCUCCGCCCAGUCACAACCAGCAGCGUGGACCCUGGCCCUGUCAGCGCACCAGGCUCCCUUGAAAGUGAAAGGACCUGGGGUUCCUUCCUACUUCGUCUCUUCCGCAUCUUCCCGGCACCGCCCACCGGCAACUAGUUUGGGCCCC
Bos taurus (domestic cattle) is the source of this 676-nucleotide long non-coding RNA. Lineage: Eukaryota; Metazoa; Chordata; Mammalia; Artiodactyla; Bovidae. The record is from Ensembl.